GCUGGCGGCGUGCCUAAUACAUGCAAGUCGAGCGGAGUUCAUCGGGAGCUUGCUCCUGAUGAACUUAGCGGCGGACGGGUGAGUAACACGUAGGCAACCUGCCCGUAAGACUGGGAUAACUACCGGAAACGGUAGCUAAUACCGGAUACGCAAGUCUCUCGCAUGAGGGGCUUGGGAAAGGCGGAGCAAUCUGUCACUUACGGAUGGGCCUGCGGCGCAUUAGCUAGUUGGUGGGGUAACGGCUCACCAAGGCGACGAUGCGUAGCCGACCUGAGAGGGUGAACGGCCACACUGGGACUGAGACACGGCCCAGACUCCUACGGGAGGCAGCAGUAGGGAAUCUUCCGCAAUGGACGAAAGUCUGACGGAGCAACGCCGCGUGAGUGAUGAAGGUUUUCGGAUCGUAAAGCUCUGUUGCCAGGGAAGAACGUCCGUUAGAGUAACUGCUAACGGAGUGACGGUACCUGAGAAGAAAGCCCCGGCUAAUCUACGUGCCAGCAGCCGCGGUAAUACGUAGGGGGCGAGCGUUGUCCGGAAUUAUUGGGCGUAAAGCGCGCGCAGGCGG
This 565-nucleotide ribosomal RNA is filed under the name uncultured bacterium. RNAcentral describes it as "bacterial SSU rRNA". It matches the Rfam family "Bacterial small subunit ribosomal RNA", at positions 35 to 578 of the family's 1533-position model. The record is from RNAcentral.